GUGGGUAGUUUGACUGGGGCGGUCUCCUCCUAAAGAGUAACGGAGGAGCACGAAGGUUGGCUAAUCCUGGUCGGACAUCAGGAGGUUAGUGCAAUGGCAUAAGCCAGCUUGACUGCGAGCGUGACGGCGCGAGCAGGUGCGAAAGCAGGUCAUAGUGAUCCGGUGGUUCUGAAUGGAAGGGCCAUCGCUCAACGGAUAAAAGGUACUCCGGGGAUAACAGGCUGAUACCGCCCAAGAGUUCAUAUCGACGGCGGUGUUUGGCACCUCGAUGUCGGCUCAUCACAUCCUGGGGCUGAAGUAGGUCCCAAGGGUAUGGCUGUUCGCCAUUUAAAGUGGUACGCGAGCUGGGUUUAGAACGUCGUGAGACAGUUCGGUCCCUAUCUGCCGUGGGCGCUGGAGAACUGAGGGGGGCUGCUCCUAGUACGAGAGGACCGGAGUGGACGCAUCACUGGUGUUCGGGUUGUCAUGCCAAUGGCACUGCCCGGUAGCUAAAUGCGGAAGAGAUAAGUGCUGAAAGCAUCUAAGCACGAAACUUGCCCCGAGAUGAGUUCUCCCUGACUCUUUAAGGGUCCUGAAGGAACGUUGAAGACGACGACGUUGAUAGGCCGGGUGUGUAAGCGCAGCGAUGCGUUGAGCUAACCGGUACUAAUGAACCGUGAGGCUUAACCUU
Molecule: ribosomal RNA, 670 nt
Filed under: Escherichia coli
Lineage: Bacteria; Pseudomonadati; Pseudomonadota; Gammaproteobacteria; Enterobacterales; Enterobacteriaceae
Description: partial 23S ribosomal RNA
Rfam family: Bacterial large subunit ribosomal RNA
Source: RNAcentral